GACGAACGCUGGCGGCGUGCUUAACACAUGCAAGUCGAACGGAAAGGCCCUGGCUUUGUCGGUUGGUCGAGUGGCGAACGGGUGAGUAACACGUGAGUAACCUGCCCUUGACUCUGGGAUAACUUCAGGAAACUGGGGCUAAUACCGGAUAGGAGCUCUUGCUGCAUGGUGGGGGUUGGAAAGUUUCGGCGGUUGGGGAUGGACUCGCGGCUUAUCAGCUUGUUGGUGGGGUAGUGGCUUACCAAGGCGUUGACGGGUAGCCGGCCUGAGAGGGUGACCGGCCACACUGGGACUGAGACACGGCCCAGACUCCUACGGGAGGCAGCAGUGGGGAGUAUUGCACAAUGGGCGGAAGCCUGAUGCAGCAACGCCGCGUGCGGGAUGACGGCCUUCGGGUUGUAAACCGCUUUCGGCAGGGAAGAAGCGAAAGUGACGGUAAUUGGUGAAGAAGCGCCGGCUAACUACGUG
Molecule: ribosomal RNA, 468 nt
Filed under: uncultured bacterium
Lineage: Bacteria
Description: partial 16S ribosomal RNA
Rfam family: Bacterial small subunit ribosomal RNA
Source: RNAcentral